CCUGCCUGGAAACAUUAGAAGGGACCGAGGCGGCGAGAUGUCUAAAAUAGGAAGACGCUGGGGACGGCUGGCCUGGCUGCCCGCGAUGCUGGCUGCGGGGAUCUGGUCCGGCCGUGCAGAUGGAAAAGCCAGGAGUGGGCUUUCGGACUGCUGGGGCUCAGCAGGACCCGGAGAGAAUUCUCCAGCUACAGGCCAGCUUGAAGAUACAGCCAGCUCUGUCAAGUCCUAGGCUUGGCCAAGCAGGAGAUCAUCUGGAUCUAAGGAAGACUCGACGAUCAGAGAUCUGAGAGCCAGAAGAGGAAUUAUCACCUCUUAUCCUGCCAAGUUAAACAUGGAUUGCACUUUGUCAAAUAGGCUUCCGAGCUUUUUUCUACUGAAAAUGCUGCGUCAUCCCGGGUGUGAGACGGGGCAAGAGAGAGAGAAAGUGGCAGGGACUGCAUGGGACGGAGAACAAGCAGCGUGAUGCAGGAGACAAAGGCGAGCAAGAGAAUCAAGAGAACUAAAAGAAGACAUAAACACACCACCAUUCUUCCACUGUCUGAAGAUGCACAUAAAAAAGUAAUAAAACCUCAUCUAUCCUCAA
Non-coding RNA from Peromyscus maniculatus bairdii (prairie deer mouse), 583 nucleotides. NCBI's taxonomy places the organism in Eukaryota, Metazoa, Chordata, Mammalia, Rodentia, Cricetidae. The record is from RefSeq and is a predicted model, not a curated record.